Callithrix jacchus (white-tufted-ear marmoset) is the source of this 1519-nucleotide long non-coding RNA. RefSeq lists it as uncharacterized. The record is from RefSeq and is a predicted model, not a curated record. NCBI's taxonomy places the organism in Eukaryota, Metazoa, Chordata, Mammalia, Primates, Cebidae.
UCACAGUUUUUGUUUGUUUUUUCAACUGCUCAUUAAGGCGUCCUACACCUUAGCAAAAGGAUCACAUGAAAUUUUCUCAAUGCUUUGGAGCAUAGUCAUGCACUCAAAAUUUAUUUUAUCUCUACUCCCACCUUUCCUCCACCCAAACUUAUCCUUGGGUUUUCAUCGAAUAGCGCUUUCGAGCCUGCCUGCCUGCUUUAGUUCAUGUAGCUCCUCCUCUGGCACUGGGGUAAACACCUGUAUUACCAUUUUAAAGGCUAUCAUUACUCUUUAUCUGUGAAGAGUAGAACAUGAAGAAACUUACUUUAUUUUGAUAUUCUCCAGAUUCCUAAAGAUUAGAGAUCAUUUCUCAUUCUUCUAGGAAUACUUACUUCAGGAAGAAUCCAGAUAAAAGAAUUACACCUUACAUCAUGGAGCAGGUUUAUAACGGCUGCUUUGAUGUCUUCGCCUGAUCAUUCUAACAUCUGAGUCAUCUCACAAUGAGCAUCUUGGUUCCUCUGAGAAUUGGUCACAUUUUCCUGGUUCUUUAUAAAAAAGAACAGAAGGCAGCAGAGAGACAAAUCUUUAGUGUUGGGUAGCUAUAGACACGUUGGUGAAACGGCUACAUGAGGGUGGAUGACAAGAAAGUACAGAUUGUGGCAAUCACUUCAAAUGGAAAAAGCACUGCUUGAAUGAAGGUAUAUAAGUGCCAACUUGCAAGGAGACUAGGUAGGUUUCACCAGAAAUUAAGGAGGCUUAAGAACAGCCAAGUCCAGCUUGACAGGAGUGGUGGUAGCACAAAUACAAGACUGGUGUCUUUAAAUAAGCCAAGGGCAGUUGAAAGUAGCAAGAGCUAGUUUGCUUUAGGUCCAUCAUGUUUUAUAUUCAUACUUUCAUGUCAGUGGAGCAAAAAAAUUGAAUACAAUAUAACAGAAUGGUAGAACCUUAUUUUUAAAAUCUCUGUGUUAUUCUGAUCUUUAACUUACUUAUAUCCUUGAUAGAGAUCUUUACCUGAAGCUCAAGACUAUAGAAAUAGUAUAAUCAGUAUAACAAUACAGCACUUUAUUUAUAUCCUGUAUGGUUUAGGGAGGGUUAAAGGCCAUUCAAAAGGCUACAUAAAAUUCAACAAUAUUAUGUAAACAAAAGGUGAGAUAAAGAAACAAAGCAAAACAAAAGUGGAAACAGAGAUGAAAGGCAUAAAUAAGAUUAAAAAUGCAAGUGAUGAAGAUGAAAGCUUGUAUAUUUACCCCAGAUGGACCACAGGGUUAUUGUUAAGCGCUAAACAGUGAACAAUGCUAUACUCAUGCAUAUCCAAUUAGAACAUGUGGAAAAAAUAGAGGCCUGUUAGAAGCCUAAUUAACAAUUUGUAAAAAAAGCAAAAAACAAAAGACAAAAAAAAAAAAACUUCAUUAUAUGGCCAAGCACAAAAUAAAUCAAGGUAAGAAAAAUGUGUAGUCAAGAAUAGGAAAAAAUUAUGGCUUUGAAGUAUAAGUUAUUUUAAGAAAGAGGAAACAUCUUCAGACUAUGCAGUAAAAAAACA